Molecule: ribosomal RNA, 434 nt
Filed under: uncultured bacterium
Lineage: Bacteria
Description: partial 16S ribosomal RNA
Rfam family: Bacterial small subunit ribosomal RNA
Source: RNAcentral
AGCGAACGCUGGCGGCAGGCCUAACACAUGCAAGUCGAACGAACCUUUCGGGGUUAGUGGCGGACGGGUGAGUAACACGUGGGAACGUGCCUUUAGGUUCGGAAUAACUCAGGGAAACUUGUGCUAAUACCGAAUGUGCCCUUCGGGGGAAAGAUUUAUCGCCUUUAGAGCGGCCCGCGUCUGAUUAGCUAGUUGGUUGAGGUAAUGGCUCACCAAGGCGACGAUCAGUAGCUGGUCUGAGAGGAUGAUCAGCCACAUUGGGACUGAGACACGGCCCAAACUCCUACGGGAGGCAGCAGUGGGGAAUCUUGCGAAAUGGGCGAAAGCCUGACGCAGCCAUGACGCGUGAAUGAUGAAGGUCUUAGGAUUGUAAAAUUCUUUAACCGGGGACGAUAAUGACGGUACCAGGAGAAGAAGCCCCGGCUAACUUCGUG